Molecule: ribosomal RNA, 253 nt
Filed under: uncultured bacterium
Lineage: Bacteria
Description: partial 16S ribosomal RNA
Rfam family: Bacterial small subunit ribosomal RNA
Source: RNAcentral
UACGGGGGGGGCAAGCGUUGUUCGGAAUUACUGGGCGUAAAGGGUCCGUAGGUGGCUCGCUAAGUCAGACGCGAAAUCCCUCGGCUUAACCGGGGAACUGCGUCUGAGACUGAUGAGCUUGAGUGCAGGAGAGGAACGCGGAAUUCCAGGUGUAGCGGUGAAAUGCGUAGAUAUCUGGAGGAACACCGGUGGCGAAGGCGGCGUUCUGGACUGCAACUGACACUGAAAGACGAAAGCCAGGGGAGCAAACGGG